GAGGCUUUAGCUUAAUUAAAGUGUCUGAUUUGCAGUCAGAAGAUGUAAGUUAAAAUUUUACAUGCCUU
This 68-nucleotide transfer RNA is filed under the name Brachymeles miriamae (Miriam's skink). Its description in RNAcentral is "tRNA-Ala". It matches the Rfam family "tRNA". Rfam says of the family: Transfer RNA (tRNA) molecules are approximately 80 nucleotides in length. The record is from RNAcentral. Lineage: Eukaryota; Metazoa; Chordata; Lepidosauria; Squamata; Scincidae.